AUCCUCUCUUUAAUUUGUUUGCAUCUUUAAUUUUAUGUGUCUUUUUAAGCAAUGGAAUAUCAAAAUUAGUAGUUAAAAUGAUGGUGUAAUAAAAAAGUAUAAAUUGUAAAGUAGUGACUAAAUUGCUACGCCACUUUUCCUUCAUCAAUCAAACAAAAUAUUUGUCUUAGAAACUAAAUGGAAUCUUACGAUUUUUCUUAGUG
This 203-nucleotide long non-coding RNA is filed under the name Trifolium pratense (red clover). RNAcentral describes it as "long non-coding RNA (TPRA_LNC009617)". Lineage: Eukaryota; Viridiplantae; Streptophyta; Magnoliopsida; Fabales; Fabaceae. The record is from RNAcentral.